This 3121-nucleotide small RNA is filed under the name Pan troglodytes (chimpanzee). RNAcentral's name for it is "retained intron". The record is from RNAcentral. Lineage: Eukaryota; Metazoa; Chordata; Mammalia; Primates; Hominidae.
AUUUCCAGUGUCUGUAGACUAUUGUGAGCCUGGAGAAGUAGCAUUUAGUUGGGAUAGCUUCACUAGAGCUGCCUGCCAAAGACUUCCUUCCACAGGAUCUUGUCGCACCAGCAACUGACAGGAGCUUGGGAGCUCGGGAGCUUGGGAGAGGGCUUAUGUUUUUAAUAAUGUAGCAGUCAGUUCGAAGCCUGGAAAUGUUGUCCCUCAAAGGUUUAUUGCCAAAAUUAGAUACCAUAUUUAUGCUGAAUUAUUACCUUUUCUAUAGUUUUUUUUUGACCUUGCAGACUACUGUAUUCUUUAUACCUAGGGAAGCAUGUCUAUGUUUGGAACCUGCAAAUAAUUUUUCAGUCAUCUUAGAGAUGCUGCAGAACAUCAAUGCCACAUCUUGAGUCAGAAGUCGAGGGUCAUUUGUUCAAAAGUUGGAGAAAUAUCCUCUUUUGUUGCUUCUUCUACUCUGUAGUGGAGAAUGGGGAACUGGUAGUUGUGUGGGAGUUAUGUGUCUCUAAGAUUUGUUGACCCAUUUUGAUGGCAAGGUGUAUUCACAAGUGUGUGUAAAGGGGGUGUGGAUGGGACAACUGCAUCUGCCUCUUGUGCAUGCCUUGGGUACUUGAUUUCAUCUUGUUUUUUCCCCCUUUUGUAUAAAAUUCUCAAAAUUGCUCUUUUGGAUUUGAAUAUGAAAGGAGAAAUGUAAUCUCUAAAGAAUGAUAGUAAAUACCUUGCACUGACUUUAUUUUCUGAUAUCUUAACCUUCUAGGGCAUAAAAUCUUGUUAUUUUAAUUUGCAUCUGGGAGAAUGUCUGAGCAAGGAGACCUGAAUCAGGCAAUAGCAGAGGAAGGAGGGACUGAGCAGGAGACGGCCACUCCAGAGAACGGCAUUGUUAAAUCAGAAAGUCUGGAUGAAGAGGAGAAACUGGAACUGCAGAGGCGGCUGGAGGCUCAGAAUCAAGAAAGAAGAAAAUCCAAGUCAGGAGCAGGAAAAGGUAAACUGACUCGCAGUCUUGCUGUCUGUGAGGAAUCUUCUGCCAGACCAGGAGGUGAAAGUCUUCAGGAUCAGGUAUAUCCCCUUGCCAUUAUCAUUAAUUGCAUGAAUGGGAUCCACCUUUGUGUGCAUGACUCUUAAUUUGGUGUUAAACAGUGUUUUGGGGGAGAAAAAUAUAAUUGAAGAAAGUAAUUCAUUUUUUGGCUUCAUCCCCUGCUUAUGCAACAUUCUAAAAUAGUUUAAUGGUUUGUCACAGAGUAUUACAUUUGUUUUUUUCCAGACUCUCUGAAAACUGCAAAUGGAAAGGAAUUCAAAAGAAUUUAGAUUAAAAGUUAAAUAAAAAGUAGGCACAGUAGUGCUGAAUUUUCCUCAAAGGCUCUCUUUUGAUAAGGCUGAACCAAAUAUAAUCCCAAGUAUCCUCUCUCCUUCCUUGUUGGAGAUGUCUUACCUCUCAGCUCCCCAAAAUGCACUUGCCUAUAAGAAACACAAUUGCUGGUUCAUAUGAAACUUAGGAAAUAGUGAAUAAGGUGCAUUUAACUUUGGAGAAAUACUUUUAUGGCUUUGGUGGAGAUUUCUCAAUACUGCAAAAGUUGUCCAGAAAUGAAUCUGAGCUGAUGGUGACUUUAAUAUUAUUAAUAUAUCACUGCAUAUUUUUACCCUUAUUUUUGCUCCUUACAGCAAGAUUAGUAGGUUAUAAAAAUUUAAAUUUAAACAAAAUUAUUUCAUGACAAAAUGGGAAACUUCACAUCAUACUUAUUUUUGUUUGCCUUUUAGGCAUCAUAUUAUCUUUUAUAAAAAAUGGUCUUGCUGCUGAAAUUGUACUUAUUUUAUCAGAGGCUGGGUGCAGUCAAGACAAAAGUAAAAUGGUUUACCUGAGCCCAGGGGAGGGAAAAUUGAUUAAGAUAUCAUUAUUUUUGUUUGGUUUGGUUUUGCUUUUUUCUUCUUACUUUAAUUGAAAUACUCUGAAUUCCCCUCAUGGAAACAGAGAGCAUUGAGAGCACUUUCUUUAAAAGGACCAAAAAUAAAUUCCUAAUAGAUUUUGUCCUAAGAGAGUGUUUUUUUUUUCUAGCAUCACUUUCUUUACAUGCCACUCAUGUCAUAAGGCAUGGACAGGCUAUCUUUCAGUGGCCAUUACUAUGUUUCGUACACAUGCUUUAUUUUACUUGGGCUCUGAGAAAUGUGUGGCUUUCCUUCAGCAUUUUAUUUGUGCUUCUAUUUUUAAUGGAGAUUGAAAAGGGAGAAUAAUGUGAAUAUCACGGCUUAUAUUAUUAAAUGUUGAUUGAUGGCUUGUAAUGUACUGCACACAAUAUAUGUUAACUCUGCAGAAUGACAGACCCUGGGAGAAGUAAUGCCCCAGUUGUCCCCCACUCCUAAUGCCAGGCAGAGAAGGACAGCCUUUAUAGACUUAAUCUGCUUUUUGUCCCAUUUGACAAGGUACCAGGAGGAAAUUUUUUAAGGGAUCAACUGUAUCAUAGUGCCCACUCUGGACCUAAGUCUAGUGUCUCCAUACAAUUGGUGCAGAGAAAUAAGGGGUAAAUGGUGCUUUGUUCCUGCUGGUUCCAAGCUCAGAAACCAAGACUAGCUUUGUAGGAGAGAAUGAGAGCCUGCAAGCCUCUCUUUGGAUUGGCUGAGGAGUGGUGGGAGCAGGGGGCUGAUAGAAAACAUCCAGACACACAUAUAAGCAAGUGGCCGUGCUACCUUUUUAGAGAAUAAAGAAACAGACUUUUGAGUUUUUAUGCAAUGCCUUCAUUAGGUACCACCGGCACUUACAAAAUGUGCGGACUGAAUCCCAGAGAACACUGGCAGAUGUAUACAGUAUAUGGAUUGUAUCGCUUCCCCAAUGUUUGUAAAUUCACAGUAUUUGGAAAACUGCCUUCAUUUUCCAGUGUGGGAAAAACUCUUGCUACCUGUAUUACUUGAUCUCAGACCCAUACCUGAUGGUUCAGUCUGUCCUUAAGUUAAAAGAAUUUUGCUUUUCUAAUGUUAUACUAUUUACCUGUCAGUGUAUUACUGCAACUUGAAUCACUCUUUUACUGUUGUUGGAUAUAAACUUAUCCUGUACCAAUGUAUUUAUUAACACUUGUAUUUUAUUAUUGAGCAUAUCAAUAAAAAUAUUAAAAAAUAACAGAUUGUUUUUUACCAA